UACGUAGGGGGCGAGCGUUGUCCGGAUUUAUUGGGCGUAAAGAGCGUGUAGGCGGCUAGGUAGGUCUGCUGUGAAAACUCGAGGCUCAACCUCGAGACGUCGGCGGAAACCAUCUGGCUAGAGUCCGGAAGAGGAGAGUGGAAUUCCUGGUGUAGCGGUGAAAUGCGCAGAUAUCGUAAGGAAGACCAGUGGCGAAGGCGGGUCUCUGGACAGUUCCUGACGCUGAGGCACGAAGGCCAGGGGAGCAAACGGG
This 253-nucleotide ribosomal RNA is filed under the name uncultured bacterium. RNAcentral's name for it is "partial 16S ribosomal RNA". It matches the Rfam family "Bacterial small subunit ribosomal RNA", at positions 524 to 776 of the family's 1533-position model. The record is from RNAcentral.